CAGAGAACAUCGCUCUCACGGGUGACUCUCCAACCCUAUGUUAGUGUACCAUUGUUGCUUUGGCGAGACGCUUCGGCCACCGGCUUACGCUGGUGAGUGCUCGCCAGAGGACCCCAAACUCUGAAUUAUUAGUGUCGUCUGAGUACUAUAUAAUAGUUA
Molecule: unclassified non-coding RNA, 159 nt
Filed under: uncultured Xenochalara
Lineage: Eukaryota; Fungi; Ascomycota
Description: sequence contains ITS1
Source: RNAcentral